Molecule: ribosomal RNA, 454 nt
Filed under: uncultured Rikenellaceae bacterium
Lineage: Bacteria; Pseudomonadati; Bacteroidota; Bacteroidia; Bacteroidales; Rikenellaceae
Description: partial 16S ribosomal RNA
Rfam family: Bacterial small subunit ribosomal RNA
Source: RNAcentral
ACGGAAGGCAGCAGUGAGGAAUAUUGGUCAAUGGACGGAAGUCUGAACCAGCCAUGCCGCGUGCAGGAAUAAGGCCCUAUGGGUCGUAAACUUCUUUUGUGGUGGAGCAAUAAGGUGCACGUGUGCAUCGAUGAGAGUACAUCACGAAUAAGCAUCGGCUAACUCCGUGCCAGCAGCCGCGGUAAUACGGAGGAUGCGAGCGUUAUCCGGAUUUAUUGGGCUUAAAGGGUGCGUAGGCUGUUCUUCAAGUCAGAGGUGAAAUACCGGGGCUCAACCCUGGAACUGCCUUUGAUACUGGAGGGCUUGAAUACUGUUGCCGUGGGAGGAAUGAGUAGUGUAGCGGUGAAAUGCAUAGAUAUUACUCAGAACACCGAUUGCGAAGGCAUCUCACGAAGCAGCGAUUGACGCUGAGGCACGAAAGCGUGGGGAUCAAACAGGAUUAGAUACCCUGGUA